UACCAGCACCCCGAGUGGUCGGGACGAUUAUUGGGCCUAAAGCAUCCGUAGCCGGUUUUACAAGUCCUCCGUUAAAUCCACCUGCUUAACAGAUGGGCUGCGGAGGAUACUAUAGAGCUAGGAGGCGGGAGAGGCAAGCGGUACUUAGUGGGUAGGGGUAAAAUCCGUUGAUCCAUUGAAGACCACCAGUGGCGAAGGCGGCUUGCCAGAACGCGCUCGACGGUGAGGGAUGAAAGCUGGGGGAGCAAACCGG
RNAcentral lists this ribosomal RNA (253 nucleotides) under uncultured bacterium. RNAcentral describes it as "partial 16S ribosomal RNA". It matches the Rfam family "Archaeal small subunit ribosomal RNA", at positions 474 to 727 of the family's 1478-position model. The record is from RNAcentral.